Molecule: ribosomal RNA, 433 nt
Filed under: uncultured bacterium
Lineage: Bacteria
Description: partial 16S ribosomal RNA
Rfam family: Bacterial small subunit ribosomal RNA
Source: RNAcentral
AACGAACGCUGGCGGCAUGCCUAACACACGCAAGUCGAACGAGACCUUCGGGUCUAGUGGCGCACGGGUGCGUAACGCGUGGGAACCUGCCCUUAGGUUCGGUAUAACUCCCCGAAAGGGGUGCUAAUACCGGAUAAUGUCUUCGGACCAAAGAUUUAUCGCCUUUGGAUGGGCCCGCGUUGGAUUAGCUAGUUGGUAGGGUAAAAGCCUACCAAGGCGACGAUCCAUAGCUGGUCUGAGAGGAUGAUCAGCCACACUGGGACUGAGACACGGCCCAGACUCCUACGGGAGGCAGCAGUGGGGAAUAUUGGACAAUGGGCGAAAGCCUGAUCCAGCAAUGCCGCGUGAGUGAUGAAGGCCUUAGGGUUGUAAAGCUCUUUUACCCGGGAUGAUAAUGACAGUACCGGGAGAAUAAGCUCCGGCUAACUCCGUG